Molecule: long non-coding RNA, 623 nt
Organism: Bos taurus (domestic cattle)
Lineage: Eukaryota; Metazoa; Chordata; Mammalia; Artiodactyla; Bovidae
Source: Ensembl
GGAACCCGGGGGAGGAUCGGGGUCGGGAGAUGAGAGGAUUUGGCUCCACGCAAGCAUCCUUGCCUUCCACACACCGUGGACAGGUGGGGAGGAGAGGCAAGGGGCCCCGUGCCGAAAAAGAGCUGCUGGGUUAGCCAUGGGGUUGUCUCUGUCCUCUGGCGUGGCCUAGGCCAGUUCUGGUGGGACAUCACUUCGAUUCCAUCCAUCCGUGGACUUCAAGGGGAUCUUCCCAACCCAGGGAUCGAACCCAAGUCUCCCGCAUUGCAGACGGAUUCUUUACCAACUGAGCCACGAGAGCCACACACGCUUGAGGAGCCAGGGGUGGAGCUGUGUUCUCAGGCAUGCUGACCAGGUCGGAGCCAUUCUGUGCUCGGUAUAGAGGCACCAUGUUAAGAAUGGGAGCACUCAGUGAAAAGGAUGCCAGCUUUGUCCUGGUGGAGCUGAUACCCUGAGGUGGUAGGUGUUUCCAAACAAACUUGGGUCUGCUUGCCCACCUGUAGCAAAAGCAACGCACUAAUAUCGGGCUGUAGUGAAGGAAAGUACAGCGUUUAUUGCUGGUGCCAAGCAAGGAGUCUGGGCAUCUAGUGCUCAGAAACCUGAAUGCGCUGUUUGAAGACAAGGUG